RNAcentral lists this non-coding RNA (550 nucleotides) under Pongo abelii (Sumatran orangutan). Lineage: Eukaryota; Metazoa; Chordata; Mammalia; Primates; Hominidae. The record is from RNAcentral.
AAUUUGGACCUCUGACCGACGUGCAAACUGGUCGGAGGGCUGCAACACACGGGCUGCCCAAGUGGGCCGCAAUUUUACGGUCCUUUAUGGACUCCUGGCUUCCGCGCCUCCAUGCCUCUUACACCCCGCCAGCCACAAACUGCCCGAACCGGCGUUUGAUCUUGCCCUCGCCUGGGGAAAGUGUCUUUCCCGAGCAGUUGAAGCACUCCCGAGCAGUUGAAACACUGGGUGCUUGGGGUGAGCUUUGAAUCCCCCAAGUCCAGGACGUGCAUCCGCCCCCUCCGCACCCCGCACUCAAGGCACUGCUGUCACCCACAGUCCCGCCAAUGGCAGAACACAGUAGGAGACCCCUGCCAGAACGCAGAUAGCAGACAGAGUUGCUCAGUACCGCUGGUGACGCCACUCGGCGAGCGCAAGUGGAUAAAUAGAAACGUCUGCCACAGCGAAGAUGAAAGGAAACCCGCAGCUAAUGGCUCGGCAGUGAUGCGCCAGAUGGCCUUAAGUUUUCCACAGCCUGGCUUCAUCUUGAGAUGGCUAUUCGUAGAAGUCG